This 505-nucleotide ribosomal RNA is filed under the name uncultured bacterium. RNAcentral's name for it is "partial 16S ribosomal RNA". It matches the Rfam family "Bacterial small subunit ribosomal RNA", at positions 28 to 507 of the family's 1533-position model. The record is from RNAcentral.
GACGAACGCUGGCGGCGUGCCUAAUACAUGCAAGUAGAACGCACAGUUUAUACCGUAGCUUGCUACACCAUAGACUGUGAGUUGCGAACGGGUGAGUAACGCGUAGGUAACCUGCCUGGUAGCGGGGGAUAACUAUUGGAAACGAUAGCUAAUACCGCAUAAUAUUAAUUAUUGCAUGAUAAUUAAUUGAAAGGUGCAAUUGCACCACUACCAGAUGGACCUGCGUUGUAUUAGCUAGGAGGUGAGGUAACGGCUCACCUAGGCGACGAUACAUAGCCGACCUGGGAGGGUGAUCGGCCACACUGGGACUGAGACACGGCCCAGACCCCUACGGGAGGCAGCAGUAGGGAAUCUUCGGAAAUGGACGAAAGUCUGACCGAGCAACGCCGCGUGAGUGAAGAAGGUUUUCGGAUCGUAAAGCUCUGUUGUAAGAGAAGAACGGGUGUGAGAGUGGAAAGUUCACACUGUGACGGUAUCUUACCAGAAAGGGGCGGCUAACUACGUG